CCUCAGUUCAAGAGAAACACUCUGAAACAUCAGCAUGCUGCCAACGAACCUGUUGAUUGUGUCGAUGGUCGUCUUUCUGGCAACAACUGUUUUUACGGCUCCUGUCGAGGAGAAGGAGCAGGAGCAGGAGCGGGAGGAGGUGGAGGUGG
Molecule: long non-coding RNA, 149 nt
Organism: Cyclopterus lumpus (lumpfish)
Lineage: Eukaryota; Metazoa; Chordata; Actinopteri; Perciformes; Cyclopteridae
Exons: 3
Source: RefSeq, a predicted model, not a curated record